Molecule: ribosomal RNA, 485 nt
Filed under: uncultured Actinomycetales bacterium
Lineage: Bacteria; Bacillati; Actinomycetota; Actinomycetes; Actinomycetales
Description: bacterial SSU rRNA
Rfam family: Bacterial small subunit ribosomal RNA
Source: RNAcentral
AGAGUUUGAUCCUGGCUCAGGACGACGCUGGCGGCGUGCUUAACACAUGCAAGUCGACGGAAAGGCUCCAGCUUGCUGGAGUGCUCGAGUGGCGAACGGGUGAGUAACACGUGGGCAAUCUGCCCUGCACUCUGGGAUAAGCCUGGGAAACUGGGUCUAAUACCGGAUAGGACCUUUCUCCUCAUGGGGUUUGGUGGAAAGUUUUUCGGUGCAGGAUGAGCCCGCGGCCUAUCAGCUUGUUGGUGGGGUAAUGGCCUACCAAGGCGACGACGGGUAGCCGGCCUGAGAGGGUGAUCGGCCACAUUGGGACUGAGAUACGGCCCAGACUCCUACGGGAGGCAGCAGUGGGGAAUAUUGCACAAUGGGCGAAAGCCUGAUGCAGCGACGCCGCGUGAGGGAUGACGGCCUUCGGGUUGUAAACCUCUUUCAGUAGGGACGAAGCGCAAGUGACGGUACCUGCAGAAGAAGCACCGGCUAACUACGUG